Molecule: long non-coding RNA, 234 nt
Organism: Nothoprocta perdicaria
Lineage: Eukaryota; Metazoa; Chordata; Aves; Tinamiformes; Tinamidae
Exons: 2
Source: RefSeq, a predicted model, not a curated record
GGAUGAGAGAGGCUCUGCUGUGGAUGCAGAGGACACCCCUGCCUUCCAGAUGAUCAGAAAGAUCCACUUCAUUUCCACGGAGCUGAUCAUUGUCUGUGAUGUCUGUGCCCUUAAACGUCCCCUGGGUUCUGUGGAGCUCAGCUGCAAAGCAUGGCCUGCUGCUGUGGCAGUUAGAACUGCAGCAUGUGACCUGCCAAGCUGCUGCCUCAGGGAACAAGGUGACAGCUCUUUUGC